This 1346-nucleotide ribosomal RNA is filed under the name uncultured bacterium. RNAcentral describes it as "partial 16S ribosomal RNA". It matches the Rfam family "Bacterial small subunit ribosomal RNA", at positions 28 to 1381 of the family's 1533-position model. The record is from RNAcentral.
GACGAACGCUGGCGGCGUGCUUAACACAUGCAAGUCGAACGGAAAGGCCCUGCUUUUGUGGGGUGCUCGAGUGGCGAACGGGUGAGUAACACGUGAGUAACCUGCCCUUGACUUUGGGAUAACUUCAGGAAACUGGGGCUAAUACCGGAUAGGAGCUCCUGCUGCAUGGUGGGGGUUGGAAAGUUUCGGCGGUUGGGGAUGGACUCGCGGCUUAUCAGCUUGUUGGUGGGGUAGUGGCUUACCAAGGCUUUGACGGGUAGCCGGCCUGAGAGGGCGACCGGCCACAUUGGGACUGAGAUACGGCCCAGACUCCUACGGGAGGCAGCAGUGGGGAAUAUUGCACAAUGGGCGGAAGCCUGAUGCAGCAACGCCGCGUGCGGGAUGACGGCCUUCGGGUUGUAAACCGCUUUCGCCUGUGACGAAGCGUGAGUGACGGUAAUGGGUAAAGAAGCACCGGCUAACUACGUGCCAGCAGCCGCGGUGAUACGUAGGGUGCGAGCGUUGUCCGGAUUUAUUGGGCGUAAAGGGCUCGUAGGUGGUUGAUCGCGUCGGAAGUGUAAUCUUGGGGCUUAACCCUGAGCGUGCUUUCGAUACGGGUUGACUUGAGGAAGGUAGGGGAGAAUGGAAUUCCUGGUGGAGCGGUGGAAUGCGCAGAUAUCAGGAGGAACACCAGUGGCGAAGGCGGUUCUCUGGGCCUUUCCUGACGCUGAGGAGCGAAAGCGUGGGGAGCGAACAGGCUUAGAUACCCUGGUAGUCCACGCUGUAAACGGUGGGUACUAGGUGUGGGGUCCAUUCCACGGGUUCCGUGCCGUAGCUAACGCUUUAAGUACCCCGCCUGGGGAGUACGGCCGCAAGGCUAAAACUCAAAGGAGUUGACGGGGCCCCGCACAAGCGGCGGAGCAUGCGGAUUAAUUCGAUGCAACGCGUAGAACCUUACCUGGGUUUGACAUGGAUCGGGAGUGCUCAGAGAUGGGUGUGCCUCUUUUGGGGUCGGUUCACAGGUGGUGCAUGGCUGUCGUCAGCUCGUGUCGUGAGAUGUCGGGUUAAGUCCCGCAACGAGCGCAACCCUUGUUCACUGUUGCCAGCACGUUAUGGUGGGGACUCAGUGGAGACCGCCGGGGUCAACUCGGAGGAAGGUGGGGAUGACGUCAAGUCAUCAUGCCCCUUAUGUCCAGGGCUUCACGCAUGCUACAAUGGCUGGUACAGAGAGUGGCGAGCCUGUGAGGGUGAGCGAAUCUCGGAAAGCCGGUCUCAGUUCGGAUUGGGGUCUGCAACUCGACCUCAUGAAGUCGGAGUCGCUAGUAAUCGCAGAUCAGCAACGCUGCGGUGAAUACGUUCCCGGGGCU